This is a non-coding RNA of Schizosaccharomyces pombe (fission yeast), 135 nucleotides long. Lineage: Eukaryota; Fungi; Ascomycota; Schizosaccharomycetes; Schizosaccharomycetales; Schizosaccharomycetaceae. The record is from the annotation of a GenBank genome assembly.
UAAAAAGAGCGAAGAAAAAAUUUUUGAACACACGAAUUUUACACACAAACUGCACAACGCUUUAAGUGUUUUUCUAAUUUAAAUUCUGAUAAAUAACAAAUUUGAAUGCAUAAGCUCAAUAGACUAUUCCCUCUA